This is an RNA transcript of Rhinopithecus roxellana (golden snub-nosed monkey), 306 nucleotides long. It is a transcript of the gene named mitochondrial import receptor subunit TOM6 homolog pseudogene, with no coding region annotated. The transcript has a single exon. NCBI's taxonomy places the organism in Eukaryota, Metazoa, Chordata, Mammalia, Primates, Cercopithecidae. The record is from RefSeq and is a predicted model, not a curated record.
CUACAAUGGCUUCCAGCGGAGUCCGGGUGAGCGCUGCUGGUUCGGAUAAUGAAACCCCCGAAAUACCAGACAACAUGGGAGAUUGGCUUCGGGGCGUCUACCGCUUUGCCACUGAUAGGAAUGACUUCCGGAAGAACUCGAUACUAAAUUUGGGACUCUUUGCUGCGGGAGUUGGGCUGGCCAGGAACUUGAGUGACGUUGACCUCAUGGCACCUCAGCUAGGGGUGUAGCCGAAUAGACAAAUGGAAUCCUGUGCUGAACCCGAAUCUUCCAAAAAACAGCCUACGAUCUGUGACCACUACAAGA